RNAcentral lists this ribosomal RNA (207 nucleotides) under uncultured bacterium. Its description in RNAcentral is "partial 16S ribosomal RNA". It matches the Rfam family "Bacterial small subunit ribosomal RNA", at positions 568 to 774 of the family's 1533-position model. The record is from RNAcentral.
CACGUAGGCGGCUUUGUAAGUUAGAGGUGAAAGCCCGGGGCUCAACUCCGGAACUGCCUUUAAGACUGCAUCGCUUGAAUCUGGGAGAGGUAAGUGGAAUUCCGAGUGUAAAGGUGAAAUUCGUAGAUAUUCGGAAGAACACCAGUGGCGAAGGCGGCUUACUGGACCAGAAUUGACGCUGAGGUGCGAAAGCGUGGGGAGCAAACA